AUACGGAGGGUGCAAGCGUUAUUCGGAAUCACUGGGCGUAAAGGACGCGUAGGCGGGUUGGCAAGUCAGAUGUGAAAUCCUACAGCUUAACUGUAGAACUGCAUUUGAAACUGCUAACCUAGAGUAUGGGAGGGGGAGAUGGAAUUAGUGGUGUAGGGGUAAAAUCCGUAGAUAUCACUAGGAAUACCGAAAGCGAAGGCGAUCUCCUGGAACACAACUGACGCUAAGGCGUGAAAGCGUGGGGAGCAAACAGGAUUAGAAACCCUGGUAGUCC
Molecule: ribosomal RNA, 274 nt
Filed under: uncultured bacterium
Lineage: Bacteria
Description: partial 16S ribosomal RNA
Rfam family: Bacterial small subunit ribosomal RNA
Source: RNAcentral